Molecule: ribosomal RNA, 324 nt
Filed under: uncultured bacterium
Lineage: Bacteria
Description: bacterial SSU rRNA
Rfam family: Bacterial small subunit ribosomal RNA
Source: RNAcentral
GAUGAACGCUGGCGGCGUGCCUAACACAUGCAAGUCGAGCGAGAAGAUUAUGAAUGAUCCUUCGGGUGAGUGAUUAAUUGGAAAGCGGCGGACGGGUGAGUAACGCGUGGGUAACCUACCUUCUACAGAGGAAUAGCCAUUGGAAACGAUGAUUAAUGCCUCAUAAGACUACACUACCGCAUGGUAGAGUAAGUAAAAACUCCGGUGGUAGAAGAUGGACCCGCGUUAGAUUAGCUAGUUGGUGAGGUAAUGGCUCACCAAGGCUACGACCUAUAGCCGACCUGAGAGGGUGAUCGGCCACACUGGAACUGAGACACGGUCCAG